UGGGGAAUAUUGGACAAUGGGGGCAACCCUGAUCCAGCGACGCCGCGUGGGUGAAGAAGGCCUGCGGGUUGUAAAGCCCUUUCGGUUGGGAAGAAAAGCUGUGACCUAACACGUCGCGGCCUUGACGUAACCAACUAAAGAAGCACCGGCUAACUCUGUGCCAGCAGCCGCGGUAAUACAGAGGGUGCGAGCGUUAAUCGGAAUUACUGGGCGUAAAGCGCGCGUAGGCGGCUUUGCAAGCCGGAUGUGAAAUCCCCGGGCUUAACCUGGGAACUGCAUUCGGGACUGCAUUGCUAGAGUAUGGGAGAGGGAAGUGGAAUUUCAGGUGUAGCGGUGAAAUGCGUAGAUAUCUGAAGGACAUCAGUGGCGAAAGCGACUUCCUGGACCAAUACUGACGCUCAUGUGCGAAAGCGUGGGGAGCAAACAGGAUUAGAUACCCUGGUAGUCCACGCCAUAAACGAUGAGAACUGGAUGUCGGGAGGGUCUGCCUCUCGG
This 495-nucleotide ribosomal RNA is filed under the name uncultured Pseudomonadota bacterium. Its description in RNAcentral is "bacterial SSU rRNA". It matches the Rfam family "Bacterial small subunit ribosomal RNA", at positions 355 to 843 of the family's 1533-position model. The record is from RNAcentral. Lineage: Bacteria; Pseudomonadati; Pseudomonadota.